AUGCAAGUCGAACGAAGUUAUUUGAGCUUGCUUAGAUAACUUAGUGGCGGACGGGUGAGUAACACGUGAGCAAUCUGCCUUUCAGAGGGGGAUACCGAUUGGAAACGAUCGUUAAUACCGCAUAACAUAGUAAAUUCGCAUGUUUUUACUAUCAAAGAUUUAUCGCUGAAAGAUGAGCUCGCGUCUGAUUAGGUAGUUGGUGAGGUAGCGGCCCACCAAGCCGACGAUCAGUAGCCGGACUGAGAGGUUGAACGGCCACAUUGGGACUGAGACACGGCCCAGACUCCUACGGGAGGCAGCAGUGGGGAAUAUUGCACAAUGGAGGAAACUCUGAUGCAGCGAUGCCGCGUGAGGGAAGAAGGUUUUCGGAUUGUAAACCUCUGUGUACAGGGACGAUAAUGACGGUACCUGUUCAGAAAGCUCCGGCUAACUACGUGCCAGCAGCCGCGGUAAUACGUAGGGAGCGAGCGUUGUCCGGAAUUACUGGGUGUAAAGGGAGUGUAGGCGGGACGGCAAGUCAGAUGUGAAAUUUAGGGGCUCAACCCCUGACCUGCAUUUGAAACUGCUGUUCUUGAGUGAAGUAGAGGUAAGCGGAAUUCCUAGUGUAGCGGUGAAAUGCGUAGAUAUUAGGAGGAACAUCAGUGGCGAAGGCGGCUUACUGGGCUUUAACUGACGCUGAGGCUCGAAAGCGUGGGGAGCAAACAGGAUUAGAUACCCUGGUAGUCCACGCCGUAAACGAUGAUUACUAGGUGUGGGGGGACUGACCCCUUCCGUGCCGCAGUUAACACAAUAAGUAAUCCACCUGGGGAGUACGGUCGCAAGACUGAAACUCAAAGGAAUU
This 841-nucleotide ribosomal RNA is filed under the name uncultured bacterium. Its description in RNAcentral is "bacterial SSU rRNA". It matches the Rfam family "Bacterial small subunit ribosomal RNA", at positions 55 to 911 of the family's 1533-position model. The record is from RNAcentral.